AUAGUUUAAUCUUGAAAAAUAGCAAUAUGAUUGAAAUGCAUGCUGCUAAAAGUAUUUUUAUGUAUACUUUACACGCUUUACAUGAAUACAUUAUGUAUAUACUCUACGCAGAUGACAGAGCCUGUUUGUCGCAAACAAGCAUAUUAAUGAUUGGCCGAAAUUACAUGUACAUUUGUUCAAACACUUAUUAUUAGUCAUCCAUGUAUUGAAUAAAUUUCCAUGAAAUUGACUUUAGAUUUGAGUGGCCACGAUAUGUCGUUUUAUUUUGAUAGCUGGACAAAACUAGUCCAUUCCAGUCUAGCUAAAGAUGAGCACUUACAUAUUUGCAUAUAUGCACAUGCAUACGGCUAUCAGUUUCAUUGUUAAAAUGACGUACACAUCCUACUCAACGACAGUAAAUAAGUACAAUAAGUGGAAUCGCCAAACUUGUUUGACCACAACAUUAGUUAUUUUAUCUCUUUGUCCAUUAUUCGCCCUAAAUGCCAUCUGCCUCGAUUUAUUUUGUCAAGUCGUGUCACUUCCAUUAUCAAGCAUAUAAUACGUUACAAAUUUGCAUUGUGUAACUACAUCAAGAACCUACUUUAGUAAUGAAACGCAAUUGCUGAUGUAAAGCUGCCUACAAUUUUGUCGUCGAUUUUGGAAUUAUUAUUAAGAGCAAAAAGGGGCGAACUACUACAUAGACCGAAGGAUACCAAAGGUCCGUUCCAACAAAAAUGCUAUUUAAUACUCGUACUGGGAUUUUGAUUGGAAUCUUGCUGUGCACUUUGUUGUGUGCCGAGAGCAAAGAAGUCGGACUUUUGGAAGAGAUUUCACAACCUCUUGAGAAUCAAGCAUUUAAUGAUCGAGUAAAAAGAAGCCCACAAUCAAGACCAAGCAUCGGAACUCAACAAACACAGGCAUGCUACAACUGUCAAAGAUGUUAUCGUGGGUGUAAUCGCAAUGGGGGCACUUGCUGCUAAUGCUGCUAAUUCUACAAUAUUUACUCAUGAUACGUGGUUUUAUUUACAAAAUUUUGAUCUGAUGGAAAUAUAAUUAAACAAGAUUUGUGCAUAAUUUA
Folsomia candida is the source of this 1057-nucleotide long non-coding RNA. RefSeq lists it as uncharacterized. The record is from RefSeq and is a predicted model, not a curated record. NCBI's taxonomy places the organism in Eukaryota, Metazoa, Arthropoda, Collembola, Entomobryomorpha, Isotomidae. The transcript is spliced from 2 exons.